RNAcentral lists this ribosomal RNA (393 nucleotides) under uncultured bacterium. RNAcentral describes it as "bacterial SSU rRNA". It matches the Rfam family "Bacterial small subunit ribosomal RNA", at positions 28 to 420 of the family's 1533-position model. The record is from RNAcentral.
GACGAACGCUGGCGGCGUGCUUAACACAUGCAAGUCGAGCGGUAAGGCCCUUUCGGGGGGUACACGAGCGGCGAACGGGUGAGUAACACGUGGGUGACCUGCCCUCAGCUCUGGGAUAAGCCUGGGAAACCGGGUCUAAUACCGGAUAUGACUCCAUGACGCAUGUUGUGGGGUGGAAAGCCUUGUGCGGCUGAGGAUGGGGCCCGCGGCCUAUCAGCUUGUUGGNGGGGUGAUGGCCUACCAAGGCGACGACGGGUAGCCGGCCUGAGAGGGCGACCGGCCACACUGGGACUGAGACACGGCCCAGACUCCUACGGGAGGCAGCAGUGGGGAAUCUUGCGCAAUGGGCGAAAGCCUGACGCAGCGACGCCGCGUGAGGGAUGACGGCCUGGU